GUGAGUCAUCGAAUCUUUGAACGCACCUUGCGCUCUUUGGCCAUUCCAAAGAGCAUGCCUGUUUGAGUGUCAUUGAAUCCUCAAGGCCCCACCGGCUUUUUCUUGCUGGCUGCGGGUUUCUUGGAUGUGGGAGUGCUGCGGGGUGGCCUUGGCCUUCCGCUCUCCUGAAAUGCAUUAGUAGGACCCAUGGGUCUUUGUGGCGUUGAUAGUUGUCUACGUCUCAUUCCUGUUGGGCUUCACCUGCUUCCAAAGUCCCAUCUCUUAUCAGAACACUUUGACCUCAAAUCAGGUAGGACUACCCGCUGAACUUAAGCAUAUCAAUAAGCGGAGGA
RNAcentral lists this unclassified non-coding RNA (332 nucleotides) under Volvariella sp. RNAcentral's name for it is "partial contains 5.8S ribosomal RNA, internal transcribed spacer 2, and large subunit ribosomal RNA". The stretch from base 1 to 72 matches the Rfam family "5.8S ribosomal RNA", at positions 84 to 154 of the family's 154-position model. The record is from RNAcentral. Lineage: Eukaryota; Fungi; Basidiomycota; Agaricomycetes; Agaricales; Pluteaceae.